Pan troglodytes (chimpanzee) is the source of this 188-nucleotide long non-coding RNA. RefSeq lists it as uncharacterized. The record is from RefSeq and is a predicted model, not a curated record. NCBI's taxonomy places the organism in Eukaryota, Metazoa, Chordata, Mammalia, Primates, Hominidae. The transcript is spliced from 3 exons.
AAGACUUGAAAGGAAAGAGGGCGGCUGGAGGCCUGCUGGUGAGAAAAGGGCAGAGAAUCACCGUGGUUGACCACAGGAGUACUAAUCCCCUCUGAGACAAGAGAGAGCCACGUGGCCACACCUAACCAUGGGGAUGGGAUGUGCCAACCUACCAUGGCCUGGAUGGCCAACUAGAAAGAUGUGGUGAG